UAAAUGUAGGCUUACUCGGUUGGUUUGAGGAUAUGAAGACACCGCCAGCAAUGACGAGAUAAGCAAGCUGAAAUAUCAUCGAACGUAGCAUUCACGUCUUUACCUAUUAGCUCUUCACAAUGUUGGUUCUUAUAAAUAAAAUUAGCACACGAUUGAAUAAUUGGAGCAAAAAAAAUGAUUGGAGAAGAUUAAUACCUUGCAUUUUAGGACCGCGUAGAAGUCACUAGCACACGCUGAAGACGACGAAUCGAUUGAGAGACAAGAAAAUGAAGACGACAACAGGAGAGCAAGUGUUGACGACGAUGACAAGAGAGCAAGUGUUGACGACGGCGACGGUAGAGGACGAAUUAAUGUCGGCCGAUUGAAAGCUUUGUUGACGAUGACAGGAGAGGGACAAGGAAAUGAAUUCGUCGGUAGAAAACUCGCCGGGAUGAUCGCCGAAGGCGAGAUGAUGUUAUCGAUGUUGUGAUUAUUUAAGGAUUUUGACUGCCCAGAUAAAUGAAACUGUAAAAUCGUCGUGGGAGAUUGGGUGAGAAAGAGAGGUUUCUCAUAAAUUGGUUUGGUUUAAAAAUUGAGAUUAUAGAGUUAAACCGAAAUUGGUUUGAGGGCAGAAGGGACAAUUUUUUUGUUGGAAGUGCCUUAUGUUUUGAAAAUGUCGUAUUCCAUACAUAGUUUUUAAAAAGUGUCUUAGAGUGUAAUAUUCUCAAAAAAAAUUAAAGCACCAUGAGCAUUUCACUCCAAGCUGGAACAUUU
This 753-nucleotide small RNA is filed under the name Arabidopsis thaliana (thale cress). Its description in RNAcentral is "ATSL047620". The record is from RNAcentral. Lineage: Eukaryota; Viridiplantae; Streptophyta; Magnoliopsida; Brassicales; Brassicaceae.